This 496-nucleotide ribosomal RNA is filed under the name uncultured bacterium. Its description in RNAcentral is "partial 16S ribosomal RNA". It matches the Rfam family "Bacterial small subunit ribosomal RNA", at positions 28 to 506 of the family's 1533-position model. The record is from RNAcentral.
GAUGAACGCUGGCGGCGUGCCUAAUACAUGCAAGUCGAGCGAACAGACGAGGAGCUUGCUCCUCUGACGUUAGCGGCGGACGGGUGAGUAACACGUGGAUAACCUACCUAUAAGACUGGGAUAACUUCGGGAAACCGGAGCUAAUACCGUAUAACAUGUUGAACCGCAUGGUUCAACAGUGAAAGACGGUCUUGCUGUCACUUAUAGAUGGAUCCGCGCCGCAUUAGCUAGUUGGUAAGGUAACGGCUUACCAAGGCAACGAUGCGUAGCCGACCUGAGAGGGUGAUCGGCCACACUGGAACUGAGACACGGUCCAGACUCCUACGGGAGGCAGCAGUAGGGAAUCUUCCGCAAUGGGCGAAAGCCUGACGGAGCAACGCCGCGUGAGUGAAGAAGGUCUUCGGAUCGUAAAACUCUGUUAUUAGGGAAGAACAAAUGUGUAAGUAACUAUGCACGUCUUGACGGUACCUAAUCAGAAAACCACGGCUAACUACGU